CGCAGUUAUACCAACCAGGUUUUGGACCCGAUCGACAGAGGUAUAGUGUAUAUUAAUUAAUACGUGAUAGUAGGAACGUGGGAUAUUAUGAAACCCUUACUAAAACCAAUUUGGUUUUUCAUAGCAAAUACACUUGUUCUAAAUAGGUCUAAUUGAUGUAUAUAGAGGAAAAGCGAUUACAUUGGAUUGGCAAUGAAUUUCAGUUGUGAAGAGUAUUACUUCAGUAAGUCCAAACAAAAGUCGGAAAUUUUUUAUAAGGCCCUGAAAUUUAGUAAAAUAUCGAUUUAACACACCUCUAUUUGGCAAACAAUGGAUUUAACAGACAGAAUUUUCGUAUGUCAUACGUGAAAAUUAACAGCCCAUUUAACUUUAAAUGCAUUCUAUACGCACUGUAAUUAAGUUAACGAGCUAUUUUUAUUUUCUCACAUCCAAGAAUCACCACUGUUCGCUUUAUGUCAGAACACCAGUGUCUUUAUAUAUUGUGAUCCCAAGACAAAUAAAUAAAAAUAUUUUUGUGCCUUUGUAAAAUUUAAAUUCCUGUAAAGACAUUAUGCAUUUGUUUGGUUUAAUAUA
Centruroides sculpturatus (bark scorpion) is the source of this 573-nucleotide long non-coding RNA. RefSeq lists it as uncharacterized. The transcript is spliced from 3 exons. Lineage: Eukaryota; Metazoa; Arthropoda; Arachnida; Scorpiones; Buthidae. The record is from RefSeq and is a predicted model, not a curated record.